GGGCGGUUAGCUCAGUUGGUAGAGCGCCACGUUUACACCGUGGAUGUCGGCGGUUCGAACCCGUCACCGCCCACCA
RNAcentral lists this transfer RNA (76 nucleotides) under Rhodospirillales bacterium. RNAcentral's name for it is "tRNA-Val". It matches the Rfam family "tRNA". From Rfam's summary of the family: Transfer RNA (tRNA) molecules are approximately 80 nucleotides in length. Their secondary structure includes four short double-helical elements and three loops (D, anti-codon, and T loops). Further hydrogen bonds mediate the characteristic L-shaped molecular structure. tRNAs have two regions of fundamental functional importance: the anti-codon, which is responsible for specific mRNA codon recognition, and the 3' end, to which the tRNAs corresponding amino acid is attached (by aminoacyl-tRNA synthetases). tRNAs cope with the degeneracy of the genetic code in two manners: having more than one tRNA (with a specific anti-codon) for a particular amino acid; and 'wobble' base-pairing, i.e. permitting non-standard base-pairing at the 3rd anti-codon position. The record is from RNAcentral. Lineage: Bacteria; Pseudomonadati; Pseudomonadota; Alphaproteobacteria; Rhodospirillales.